This is a non-coding RNA of Aegilops tauschii subsp. strangulata, 4293 nucleotides long. The record is from RefSeq and is a predicted model, not a curated record. NCBI's taxonomy places the organism in Eukaryota, Viridiplantae, Streptophyta, Magnoliopsida, Poales, Poaceae.
AAUCCAUAAUGAAAAGGCGGGAACAGUUCAAUAUGUGUGUAUCCGGCUGCAGCCAUCGAGUUCGUUUGCAUCUUUAAUUUCAGAGGUUCAACUAAAUUUUUCCUCAAAAUUGGGCCUUUCCUAUAUUGAUCUUUGAUCUUUGUUUAAUAACAUUACAAUCGCACAAAAUAGGCAUUGUUUUCUAUUUCUUGAUGAAAAUGUUCCAGUAUCAUGUACUGUUUGUAAACGUUCACUUACCUAGAACAAAAACAGAUGCAAAGGUGCUUUUUCCCUGUUAAUGUUUGUGUUAGUGCAUGCAAGUGGAAAGAGCUAUGGAACUGACCCCCGCGGGCAUUUUUCCGUCAAACAUUGCACUUGUUUUUCCCUUUCCAGGUUUAUAUUACCUUUUUUCUUAUAAAUUACAGUACCUCAUCUAUCCUUCCUUGUAGAUGGAGAUGCGUGUAUGUAUACAUGAAUUCUGAAAACAAGCUUCAGUACAAGAAAAAUGGGUCGUUCAGUACAAUUCUGAAUUAUAGGUGUGUAAACAGAUCCUGCUUACACAGUAACUAAUUAGCUAUGAUAACCAUGUUCAGACUUCUACUAACCCCAAAACUAUGUAGAGUUAGGAUUGUUACUACCUUGUUUCUUAAUAUUGAUUCAUUUUUAUGAGAAGGUAUUAAGAUGGUACAUGUAGUUGGACAUCUCAAUAUACUAUAAUGUGUUUUUUUUUUGCAUAGUACCUUGAAAUUAUGUUAGCAAUUCUGAAUUGCGAUUGUGCUUGAAACUGAAAAUGAUUCUCUAACUUCUCAAACCUCGUGGACUUGAUGCUUAAAAUACUUCCAGAACGAAUUGAUUCUUGUUCUUUCAUGAUCAGUUCAGCAAAUAAUUUUUUAGUUCAUUCCAAUUUCAAAUUCUCAUUUUAGUUUAGUCAAAGUUUCUUAUUUUAGUUCAGUACAAUAUCCAAGUUUAUUUUAGUUUUAGUUCAUUUCAAUUCUUAUUUUAGUCAAUCUGUAUUCUAUGGAUUUUAUUUGGCCUAGAUUGCUAGAUGUGCUAACUUAUUGUGCCAAGGCAAUCUAAAACAUCAAGUGCUGCUACUGUAAUUCGUUCAUUGUUUCAUGCCUUCCCGCAGAUGCGCACCCCCACCUUCCCACCGACGCCUACAAAUUAGAGUUCACUAAAAAUGUGCUUGAAAGUUCAAUUUUUACGAACCGAAUAAUUUCUUAUUUACAGAUCUGAAUCGUGCGACUUCUCCAACUAGCUUAUGGUGUUUCUGACAUUGCUCUAAACCAUUUCUCAGUAAUAUUUUGUAUGUCGCGAUGGACUUGAAGGAUUUCAGUCCAUCAAGCUAGUUGUCAAAAAGGUAUUUUUUGCCUUUUAAUGUCUAUGAUGACUUGAUUACCUAGGAAUUUAAACAUGGUAACUGUUUGCCGAAUAAUAUUUUGUAUAUAGGUAAUGUCAUUUCUACGAACAGCCAGUUCCAUUAUACCUGUUGUUCGCCGUCGAUGGUGCUGCCAUUUGAGUUUAUGUCUCUGUCCAUGGAGGCUUCCUGGAAGUUUCUCUGUUUCCAUGUAUGGUGUUCCAUGACAGAGGCCGUGACGCGUGAUGAUUUCUGGUUAGGAUUGGUUUACUUUGGAUCUCACAGUAGGAGGAUAGGCACGGCGUGCAUUCAGUCUCAGAACCUGAAACUAACCUGAUUGAGGUGGCAUUCAGUUUUCAGUGAUUAAUCUCCAUUUAUUUAUUAGUAGUUUCACCUGCUUUUUGGAAUUAAAAAGAACAAAACUUAACUAGUUUGACCACUUUGUGACUGCUAGGCACAAGGAAGGAAGGGCCACCGUCCGAGGCGACGCGUACAUAUGUACACCCAAGAGUCAGGACAGGACACAACAUCCGAUGCGGCAUACGUAGUACACUGAGGACUCCCUCAUCACUAGCAAAGACAAGAAAACUAGCAGUGUCCUCAGCCAGGUGUGCACGGUGAGUGGCUACUGAACUUGUAGGGCUGCUGCUUUUGGACUGCCCAGGAAGCACAUCAUUAUAGAAGGUAAAAUUUGUAACCUAUAUAAUUCAUGUUUGUUCUGACCUCUUGUUCCUCUAAAGCAGCCAAAUCCCGGCGCACCUGGUAGUUCAAACUUGCACCAGAUGGCCGGUGACCCCCUCUACAUGCUCCUCGAGGAUGACUUGGUAGUAGCUGGGAUCCCCUACAGUAGCCAAAUCCCGGUGCACUCAUCGCUGCUCGUGAUCCCCUCUCCUUCAGCUCCACUUCGUGACACCGCUAGUCCACAGGAGUAGGGGCAUUGUGCCCAUCAACAAAAAAGAAACAGAAGGUCAUCGAAGCAGCGGCCGCCAGCUCUCCCGCGUGAAGCAGCAACCGAUGUUGUUCUCUUUCUCAUACAUGCGCGUGUGCAGCAGCAAGCAUGACUCACUCUCUCUCUCUCUCAUUUGCACAUGAGACAUCUCUCGAUGUGAUUUGGUUGGACAGGAAGAGCAACACGGGCAGUACGGGCUGGCUGAUGAUGGCUGAUGACAAACCUGCUGCUGUCUUGCUCUAUAAUGGUCUCUGAUCCAAUGUAUUUUAAUUUCUCUGCGGUAUAGCUUGCUAUAAAAGAUGAAAUAUAAGAGGUCAUUAUGCAAAAACUUGUUGGAUCCAUGUAAGGUGAACGAGAAAGUAUAUCGAAAAAGUUUGAUAUUUUUUUUUGUUGAGGUAAAUGUGGUUGGCGGCCGUCGACGUCGCUAAAUCCCUCUACAAACUAGUGGUUGGCUGCUCCCAGCGGUAAAUGUGGUCAGGUUCGGCAGCUAGCUCUUCCUCGAGCAACCAUUUGGAGAACUUUAUUGUGUUAUUGUGGUGGUGAUUGAUUUUAGGAUCAGUAAAUUUGAUAGCUAGCUUGUGUAUGGAACCUGCAAGUUCAAUAUUGGCAUUAGAUUCAGUUCUUGUUGUACAAAUCUCCCGGUGUUCACAUUUAUUCGGGUAAAAGUUUAUUUUAGUUCAGCUACAGAAACUAUGCAGGUUCAGUGAUGAUGAUACCAUAAGUUCGAAUAAGAAAACAAAAAAUAAUUAAAAUAUAAAACUUUAAAUUCUACAAGUUCAAGUGCUCAUCCACACAUGGUAAUUCAAGAUGGUAAAAGUUGAAAAUGGUAAAAGUUCAAGUUGUAAAACAAGAGAAAUCUAGAACAUUCGUUGCAAAAAGAAUUUGACUUCAAAAAAACACGCAAUUUUUUUGGCAAAAAAUAGCAUUCAGUUCAACAAUAUAAACCAUGCAAGUUCGGGGGCUAUGAUACAAUAAACCGUUGAAAACUUACGAGGAAAAAAUUACCCAAAAAAUAGAGCAAAGUCUAGUUAGUGAAAACACGCUUAGUACAAACCCAUGAAAACAUCAGUACAAGUACCCUUUUUUCAGAACCAUUCAAAAUUACUCUACCAAAAAUAGCUCAGUACAAACACGCACAUAUAUCAGUACGAGUACUCUGUUUUUCAGACGGGAAACAGCAGGAUCCGUUUUGCCGUAUUCAAAAUUACUCUUAAAUGGUUGCGAAUUUGAGAAAAUGUUCAACAUGACUAAGUUUCGCCUUUUCGAUAGAUUUCCAACGGUAUAUUAUUUGCCCCAUUUCAACAAACUAAAAAAAUCACGUUCGAAAUCAAAUUUGACCAUAUUCGAAUUCGUUUUUAAACUGUAAGGAAUUAGAAAAACAUUUCAAUACGAAACAGUUGCGCAUUUUCCAUAGCUUUCCAACGCCGUAUCGUUUGCGUCAAUCCGACAAACCGUUCGCAAGAAAAACACGAAAAUACGUUUCGCCCAGAAUUUCAUCAUUUUUCAAAUUACUUUUAAAUUGUAUAGAAUUUGAAAAAAAACAAUAGAUAUAUGGAAGAUGCGGAUUUUUUCAGCUUUCCAUCACCAUGUUAUUUGCUCAAUUCCGACAAACCGUUUGAAAACCAAAACAUGAUUCCCGUUUUUGAUUUUGAAAAAAACGGUUUUUUCAAAACUGCUCUUAAACCAUGAUGAUUUUGCAAAAAUGUUCAAUAUAUUUGAAAUAUAGUUGUCAAGAGCUUUCCAAUGAUACAUUACACACCCCGUUCCGACAAAAAAUUGCAAAAUAAGAAGACGAUCUGUUAAACAGAAAUGAAAACACCAGUUCAACCGCUCCAAUUCAUCAGUACAACUGCCUGAAACCGUUACUUCAAGUAGGGUAACAGAAUAAUAUUCUGUUAUGCGAAACAGAAUAGGCCACAUGUAUAUAUUUUCUACAAUAGCUUGCCACAGAACUAGUUAAGGUUUUCGCUGGUAUAAAUGUUCUCAAAAAUCCUGAAACUAAUAGAAC